UACGAAGGGGGCUAGCGUUGCUCGGAAUCACUGGGCGUAAAGCGCACGUAGGCGGACUUUUAAGUCAGGGGUGAAAUCCUGGAGCUCAACUCCAGAACUGCCUUUGAUACUGGAAGUCUUGAGUUCGAGAGAGGUGAGUGGAACUGCGAGUGUAGAGGUGAAAUUCGUAGAUAUUCGCAAGAACACCAGUGGCGAAGGCGGCUCACUGGUCCGGUACUGACGCUGAGGUGCGAAAGCGUGGGGAGCAAACAGG
RNAcentral lists this ribosomal RNA (253 nucleotides) under uncultured bacterium. RNAcentral's name for it is "partial 16S ribosomal RNA". It matches the Rfam family "Bacterial small subunit ribosomal RNA", at positions 524 to 776 of the family's 1533-position model. The record is from RNAcentral.